CAAAAAAUCAAAAAAAAAAAAAAAAACUUCAAAUACUGCUCCUAUGGUUUCACACUUUCUCACUUUAGUACUUUAUAAUUUAAAGUAUAUCAAUUUAGUGCCAUGUGGUUUUAUUUUUAUUUUUUUAUUAUCAAUUCCACUAAUUUUUUUCGCUAAAUUAGCGACAAAGUUAAAACUAAAGGGUACUAAAGUGAGUAUUCAAUAAAUCUAAAUAGAUAUCUGAAGUUUUUUAUAUAUAAUUUAACGAAAUAUUAACGAAAAAGCUAACGAAAAGAUAAAAAUAAAAUCACAGAAUACUAAUUUGAUACAUUUAAAAUUAUAUAAUGUUAAAAUAAAAAAUGUGAAAUCAUAAAAAUAGUAUUUGAAAUUUACCCAUAAAAAA
RNAcentral lists this long non-coding RNA (382 nucleotides) under Ananas comosus (pineapple). RNAcentral describes it as "long non-coding RNA (ACOM_LNC014265)". Lineage: Eukaryota; Viridiplantae; Streptophyta; Magnoliopsida; Poales; Bromeliaceae. The record is from RNAcentral.